GGGACAUUAGCUCAGUCGGUUCAGAGCGUCCCGACGAGUCGGGAAGGUCACUGGUUCGAAUCCUGUAUGUCCCA
Molecule: transfer RNA, 74 nt
Filed under: Bacteroidetes bacterium GWF2_49_14
Lineage: Bacteria; Pseudomonadati; Bacteroidota
Also listed under: 1 other name
Description: tRNA-OTHER
Rfam family: tRNA
About the family: Transfer RNA (tRNA) molecules are approximately 80 nucleotides in length.
Source: RNAcentral